CCCUUAGACGUUCUGGGCCGCACACGCGCUACACUGAAGGAGGCAGCGUGUACUCCUGGAUCGAAAGAUUUGGGUAACCCGCGAAUCUCCUUCGUGCUAGGGAUUGAGGUUUGCAAUUAUCCUUCAUGAACGAGGAAUUCCCAGUAAGUGCAAGUCAUAAGCUUGCGCUGACUACGUCCCUGCCCUUUGUACACACCGCCCGUCGCUACUACCGAUUGAAUGAUUUAGUGAGGACUUCGGACUGGGACCGAUGCGGCUUUCGGGCUGCGUCGGUAUUCUGGAAAGAUGUCCAAACUGUAUCAUUUAGAGGAAGUAAAAGUCGUAACA
This 327-nucleotide ribosomal RNA is filed under the name uncultured eukaryote. Its description in RNAcentral is "partial 18S ribosomal RNA". It matches the Rfam family "Eukaryotic small subunit ribosomal RNA", at positions 1470 to 1796 of the family's 1831-position model. The record is from RNAcentral.